RNAcentral lists this ribosomal RNA (1553 nucleotides) under Escherichia coli. Its description in RNAcentral is "bacterial SSU rRNA". It matches the Rfam family "Bacterial small subunit ribosomal RNA". The record is from RNAcentral. Lineage: Bacteria; Pseudomonadati; Pseudomonadota; Gammaproteobacteria; Enterobacterales; Enterobacteriaceae.
AAAUUGAAGAGUUUGAUCAUGGCUCAGAUUGAACGCUGGCGGCAGGCCUAACACAUGCAAGUCGAACGGUAACAGGAAGAAGCUUGCUUCUUUGCUGACGAGUGGCGGACGGGUGAGUAAUGUCUGGGAAACUGCCUGAUGGAGGGGGAUAACUACUGGAAACGGUAGCUAAUACCGCAUAACGUCGCAAGACCAAAGAGGGGGACCUUCGGGCCUCUUGCCAUCGGAUGUGCCCAGAUGGGAUUAGCUAGUAGGUGGGGUAACGGCUCACCUAGGCGACGAUCCCUAGCUGGUCUGAGAGGAUGACCAGCCACACUGGAACUGAGACACGGUCCAGACUCCUACGGGAGGCAGCAGUGGGGAAUAUUGCACAAUGGGCGCAAGCCUGAUGCAGCCAUGCCGCGUGUAUGAAGAAGGCCUUCGGGUUGUAAAGUACUUUCAGCGGGGAGGAAGGGAGUAAAGUUAAUACCUUUGCUCAUUGACGUUACCCGCAGAAGAAGCACCGGCUAACUCCGUGCCAGCAGCCGCGGUAAUACGGAGGGUGCAAGCGUUAAUCGGAAUUACUGGGCGUAAAGCGCACGCAGGCGGUUUGUUAAGUCAGAUGUGAAAUCCCCGGGCUCAACCUGGGAACUGCAUCUGAUACUGGCAAGCUUGAGUCUCGUAGAGGGGGGUAGAAUUCCAGGUGUAGCGGUGAAAUGCGUAGAGAUCUGGAGGAAUACCGGUGGCGAAGGCGGCCCCCUGGACGAAGACUGACGCUCAGGUGCGAAAGCGUGGGGAGCAAACAGGAUUAGAUACCCUGGUAGUCCACGCCGUAAACGAUGUCGACUUGGAGGUUGUGCCCUUGAGGCGUGGCUUCCGGAGCUAACGCGUUAAGUCGACCGCCUGGGGAGUACGGCCGCAAGGUUAAAACUCAAAUGAAUUGACGGGGGCCCGCACAAGCGGUGGAGCAUGUGGUUUAAUUCGAUGCAACGCGAAGAACCUUACCUGGUCUUGACAUCCACGGAAGUUUUCAGAGAUGAGAAUGUGCCUUCGGGAACCGUGAGACAGGUGCUGCAUGGCUGUCGUCAGCUCGUGUUGUGAAAUGUUGGGUUAAGUCCCGCAACGAGCGCAACCCUUAUCCUUUGUUGCCAGCGGUCCGGCCGGGAACUCAAAGGAGACUGCCAGUGAUAAACUGGAGGAAGGUGGGGAUGACGUCAAGUCAUCAUGGCCCUUACGACCAGGCUACACACGUGCUACAAUGGCGCAUACAAAGAGAAGCGACCUCGCGAGAGCAAGCGGACCUCAUAAAGUGCGUCGUAGUCCGGAUUGGAGUCUGCAACUCGACUCCAUGAAGUCGGAAUCGCUAGUAAUCGUGGAUCAGAAUGCCACGGUGAAUACGUUCCCGGGCCUUGUACACACCGCCCGUCACACCAUGGGAGUGGGUUGCAAAAGAAGUAGGUAGCUUAACCUUCGGGAGGGCGCUUACCACUUUGUGAUUCAUGACUGGGGUGAAGUCGUAACAAGGUAACCGUAGGGGAACCUGCGGUUGGAUCACCUCCUUACCUUAAAGAAGC